This 499-nucleotide ribosomal RNA is filed under the name uncultured bacterium. Its description in RNAcentral is "bacterial SSU rRNA". It matches the Rfam family "Bacterial small subunit ribosomal RNA", at positions 28 to 530 of the family's 1533-position model. The record is from RNAcentral.
GACGAACGCUGGCGGCGUGCCUAACACAUGCAAGUCGAGCGGGGUUGAAGCGAGGGGUAACUCGAGUUUCUACCUAGCGGCGGACGGGUGAGUAACGCGUGGGCAACCUGCCUCAAGGACUGGGAUAACAGCUCGAAAGGGCUGCUAAUACCGGAUAAGCCUAUGGCCUCGCAUGGGGCCAUGAGCAAAGGGGAAACCCGCCUUGAGAUGGGCCCGCGUCCCAUCAGCUAGUUGGUGAGGUGAAGGCUCACCAAGGCGACGACGGGUAGCCGGCCUGAGAGGGUGACCGGCCACACUGGGACUGAGACACGGCCCAGACUCCUACGGGGGCAGCAGUGGGGAAUCUUGCACAAUGGGCGAAAGCCUGAUGCAGCGACGCCGCGUGAGCGAAGAAGGCCUUCGGGUGUAAAGCUCUGUCUGGAGGGACGAAGGAGUGACGGUACUCCGGAGGAAGCCACGGCUAACUACGUGCCAGCAGCCGCGGUAACUAGUCACGUCG